AUGAGUAUCCUAACAUGGAAUUGUCGUGGGGCUGGCAAACCCACGACAAUUCACGAGCUUCGUGACCUAACGAAGCAACAUGCCCCCUCUAUCGUUUGUAUCUUAGAAACUCAAAUAGAGGGCUCCCGUGUGGAGAAUUUAGUAGGUACUUUGGGUUUUGAUAAAAGUUAUGCAGUUAGCAGUUCUGGUAGGAGUGGAGGAAUU
Molecule: ribosomal RNA, 204 nt
Filed under: Triticum aestivum (bread wheat)
Lineage: Eukaryota; Viridiplantae; Streptophyta; Magnoliopsida; Poales; Poaceae
Description: partial small subunit ribosomal RNA
Source: RNAcentral